RNA transcript from Jatropha curcas, 1699 nucleotides. It is a transcript of the gene named S-adenosyl-L-methionine-dependent methyltransferases superfamily protein, with no coding region annotated. The record is from RefSeq and is a predicted model, not a curated record. NCBI's taxonomy places the organism in Eukaryota, Viridiplantae, Streptophyta, Magnoliopsida, Malpighiales, Euphorbiaceae.
GUAAAUGAAGAAGAAGAAUUACCAUAUCAGCUCUGCUCAUGACUGAGAUUGAGACCGAGACUGAGAGCUCGCAUACUCAGAAUAGAAGAGAAAAUGAAAGGUUUGUCUCUGUAUCGGAGGAGUUAUUUGGUUCUAUUUAGAAGAGAAAGAGCACCAAAUCAAUCAUAUGCUUUGCUUCCUUCCACUUCCUUCUCUACUUAUGACAAUAGCAGCAACGAUGAUUUGCAGAAUUCGAGGGUCAAGAUCUUCGAUCGCCACCUCAAACGCAAACAACGUGACCGAGCUGCAUGGCUGAUGCGCCCAAAUGAUUGCUUAGUUGAUGCUGUUGCUGAAAAUCUAUUGGAUCGUUUGGAGGAUUGUAACAAAACAUUCCCUUCUGCAUUAUGUUUAGGAGGUUCCUUGGAAGCUAUCAGACGUUUGUUGCGUGGUCGCGGCUCCAUUGAAAAGCUCAUAAUGAUGGAUAUGUCGUAUGACAUGAUUAAAAUGUGCAGAGACGCACCAAAAGAUGCAAAUGAAAAUAUCGAAACAUCCUUUAUUGUUGGUGAUGAAGAGUUUCUUCCAAUAAAAGAAAGUUCGCUAGAUUUGGUAAUCAGUUGCUUGGGGCUUCACUGGACUAAUGACCUUCCUGGAGCCAUGAUACAGAGUAGAUUGGCGCUGAAGCCAGAUGGCCUAUUUUUAGCAGCUAUUCUGGGUGGAGAAACUUUGAAGGAGCUUAGAAUAGCAUGCACCGUGGCUCAAAUGGAACGCGAAGGAGGCAUCAGUCCUCGAAUAUCUCCUUUGGCACAAGUCCGCGAUGCAGGCAAUCUGUUAACCAGGGCUGGCUUCACCCUUCCUGGUGUUGAUGUUGACGAGUAUGUGGUCAGGUAUAAAAGUGCGCUGGAGCUGAUAGAGCAUCUCCGUGCAAUGGGUGAAACUAAUGCUCUUCUGCAAAGGAACAAUAUAUUAAAGCGAGAAACAGCCUUGGCAACUGCAGCAAUUUACGACUCAAUGUUUGCUGCAGAAGAUGGCUCCAUCCCUGCAACAUUCCAGGUUAUUUACAUGACAGGUUGGCGGGAACAUCCUUCACAGCAAAAAGCCAAAAGAAGGGGAUCUGCCACCGUAUCAUUCAAGGACAUCCAGGAGCAAUUCGGCCAUGGUGGCUAAGACAUCUCAUCCUUCAACAGCAUUCAAUGUGAAUUUUAAAGCAACUUUCCUCUUCUAGGUUGGUCUCUCCAUUAACUUAGCUAAUUUGAUCGAGUGCAUGUUCAGUUAGAGGUUCUCUCUUCAAAUGCGUUCAUUAUUUUUCUUUUUCCAGUUUUUAUUUCAGACCCCAUUUGCUAGCACAUACACAUUGGUCAUCGCAUUUGGGACAUCAAUCCCUGCUCAGCCUCGUAUCGAUGGAGGGAGAGCUUGAUUGUGCUGGGUUUGGAAGUCCGAUACGUUUUAUGGGGCAGGCGGGUUUUAUUCUUUUCACCUUAAGGGUACUUUCAUCCAUUAAAUUUUCCGUUCUUUUUUUUUUUUAACAUAGGAGGUCCAAUAGACUGAAAUAACAUUGUGGGCUAUACAGCAGGAGUCGUCUUUUUUUUUGAAUGACAUUUAACAAAUUAGUGAUAACCUUUUUAGGGAAGGAGAGAGACCUCGAACUCGAGAUCUCUCACUCCCUACAUCAUCCAUGAGAGGUAAGAAUACAACACCUGAUUGGCAUUAAAUUCUCCAUUAA